AAAUGAAUAGACGGGGGCCCGCACAAGCGGUGGAGCAUGUGGUUUAAUUCGACGCAACGCGAAGAACCUUACCAAGGCUUGACAUCCUACUAACGAGGCAGAGAUGCGUCAGGUGCCCUUCGGGGAAAGUAGAGACAGGUGGUGCAUGGUUGUCGUCAGCUCGUGUCGUGAGAUGUUGGGUUAAGUCCCGCAACGAGCGCAACCCUUGCCUUCAGUAGCCAGCGCGUAGAGGCGGGGACUCUGGAGGGACUGCCGUGGAUGACACGGAGGAAGGUGGGGACGAUGUCAAAUCAUCAUGCCCUUUAUGUCUUGGGCUACACACGUGCUACAAUGGCGCCAACAGAGCGAAGCGAAGCUGCGAAGCGGAGCAAAGCGCAAAAAAGGCGCCUCAGUUCGGAUUGCAGGCUGCAACCCGCCUGCAUGAAGUCGGAAUCGCUAGUAAUCGCGAAUCAGCAUGUCGCGGUGAAUACGUUCCCGGGCCUUGUACACACCGCCCGU
RNAcentral lists this ribosomal RNA (498 nucleotides) under uncultured bacterium. RNAcentral's name for it is "bacterial SSU rRNA". It matches the Rfam family "Bacterial small subunit ribosomal RNA", at positions 903 to 1397 of the family's 1533-position model. The record is from RNAcentral.